This 908-nucleotide long non-coding RNA is filed under the name Vulpes vulpes (red fox). RNAcentral's name for it is "lncRNA (ENSVVUG00000002522.1)". Lineage: Eukaryota; Metazoa; Chordata; Mammalia; Carnivora; Canidae. The record is from RNAcentral.
GAGCUCCUUGCAUUGGAGCCUGCUUCUCCCUCUGCCUAGGUCUCUGCCCCUUUCUCUCUCUCUCUCUCUCUCUCCCUCGCUCUCUCUCCCUCUCAAAAUCCGGCAAAAAUAAAAAGAAAGAAAGACAGAAAAAUAAAGGAAGAAAGAAAAGAAAAUUCCCUACGUUCGGACUUCUAGGUCAGCCCAUCAGAAAGAUGCCUCGUGGGAUGGGACCCAAGAGGUGGUCCAGAGAAAUAAGGACCCGACUCCCCACCCACACACACACACACACACUUCCCAUGAGUCCAAAUCAUGAAGAAGACGGGGAAAGCAGGCCAGGCAGGCAGACGCCAGAAAUCCGAAGUCCGCCCGCACGCACGCACGCACGCACGUCCUCGGCUGCCCUCGGCCGCCCCCGCCGGCCCGACGCGGGGACCCGGGGAGACCCCGCGGGCCGGGGAUGACAGAGAGAGAGAGGCAGAGACACAGAGGGAGAAGCAGGCUCCAUGCACCGGGAGCCCGACGUGGGACUCGAUCCCGGGUCUCCAGGAUCGCGCCCUGGGCCAAAGGCAGGCGCCAAACCGCUGCGCCACCCCGGGGAUCCCACACACAGACUUUCUACGGAUUCUCGCGUGUCUGGAGAACCCGGAUACACCUGUUAUAAUGGAGCCCCCGCUAUGUGUCAGCAAGGGAGCCACACACACCUGCCCUUUCGGUACCUCCCGGAGGUCUCACAGCUUCCCAGGAGCGCAGGUGAUGGUGUCCGUUCUUGCCAGGUGCUGGGAACAUAGCAGCCCGGACAGUGGAUGGAAACCCAUGCCCUCAUAGAGCUCGCGUCCCAGAAAGGGCAGCAAACAAUAAGCUGAGUCACCUCUUCUGGCCACAGAAGUUCCCCGGAGUCGACACUGAGAUCAAGGACUCGAGUGCAG